Molecule: ribosomal RNA, 469 nt
Filed under: Hysterothylacium reliquens
Lineage: Eukaryota; Metazoa; Nematoda; Chromadorea; Rhabditida; Raphidascarididae
Description: partial 12S ribosomal RNA
Source: RNAcentral
GACUUUAUAAACUUGUACUCUAAUUAAUGUCAAACUGGGGCCCUUUGUUUUUCUUUAGGUUUUAGGGUGAAAUCAGAAACCUUUUUUUUGAAGGCCCUAGUUUUUAAAAUUUAAGGAGCAAGCCAGAUUAGUACCUGGUUAGAUAAAAGUUAAAAGAGCAGGAGUAAAGUUGUAUUUAAACUGUAAGAAUAUUGGCAGGUUUUUAAAUUAUCUUUGGAGGUUGAGUAGUAAUUGAGAGCCCUCAUUAACAACUUUUGCUAUUGUCGCAUGUAUGAUCGUUUGUUUUAUUCUUAGGGGUUGUAAUUUUAGUUUAUUUGUUGCUAUAAAAAUAGAUAAAUAUCUGGUCUAUGCAAAAGAUUUAAUUUGACCUACAAUAUUAAAUAAUGUGGAUUCACUUUGUAGCAAAGUGAUUGAAAAUGUAAAAGACAGUAAGUUACUUUUAAUGGGUGACUGAAGUUUAUUUAAAAAC